Molecule: ribosomal RNA, 552 nt
Filed under: uncultured Actinomycetes bacterium
Lineage: Bacteria; Bacillati; Actinomycetota; Actinomycetes
Description: bacterial SSU rRNA
Rfam family: Bacterial small subunit ribosomal RNA
Source: RNAcentral
GCUGGGUUGGAUGAGUGGCGAACGGGUGAGUAACACGUGAGUAACCUGCCCCCUUCUUUGGGAUAACGGUCGGAAACGGCUGCUAAUACCGGGUAUUCACUGUCCUUCGCAUGGGGGGUGGUGGAAAGGUUUUUCUGGUGGGGGAUGGGCUCGCGGCCUAUCAGCUUGUUGGUGGGGUGAUGGCUUACCAAGGCUUUGACGGGUAACCGGCCUGAGAGGGUGACCGGUCACAUUGGGACUGAGAUACGGCCCAGACUCCUACGGGAGGCAGCAGUGGGGAAUAUUGCACAAUGGGCGAAAGCCUGAUGCAGCGACGCCGCGUGAGGGAUGACGGCCUUCGGGUUGUAAACCUCUUUCGCUCAUGGUCAAGCCGCAACAGUGGUUGUGGUGAGGGUAGUGGGUAAAGAAGCACCGGCUAACUACGUGCCAGCAGCCUCGGUAAUACGUAGGGUGCGAGCGUUGUCCGGAAUUAUUGGGCGUAAAGGGCUUGUAGGCGGUUUGUCGCGUCUGCCGUGAAAUCCUCUGGCUUAACUGGGGGCGUUCGGUGGGUAC